GAGUUUUGAUCCUGGCUCAGGAUGAACGCUAGCUACAGGCUUAACACAUGCAAGUCGAGGGGAAACGACAUCGAAAGCUUGCUUUUGAUGGGCGUCGACCGGCGCACGGGUGAGUAACGCGUAUCCAACCUGCCCACCACUUGGGGAUAACCUUGCGAAAGUAAGACUAAUACCCAAUGACGUCUCUAGAAGACAUCUGAAGGAGAUUAAAGAUUUAUCGGUGAUGGAUGGGGAUGCGUCUGAUUAGCUUGUUGGCGGGGUAACGCCACAAGGCGACGAUCAGUAGGGGUUCUGAGAGGAAGGUCCCCCCANAUUGGAACUGAGACACGGUACCAAACUCCGUACGGGAGCA
RNAcentral lists this ribosomal RNA (352 nucleotides) under uncultured bacterium. RNAcentral's name for it is "bacterial SSU rRNA". It matches the Rfam family "Bacterial small subunit ribosomal RNA", at positions 9 to 349 of the family's 1533-position model. The record is from RNAcentral.